RNAcentral lists this ribosomal RNA (508 nucleotides) under uncultured bacterium. Its description in RNAcentral is "partial 16S ribosomal RNA". It matches the Rfam family "Bacterial small subunit ribosomal RNA", at positions 28 to 507 of the family's 1533-position model. The record is from RNAcentral.
GACGAACGCUGGCGGCGUGCCUAAUACAUGCAAGUCGAACGCUUCUUUCCUCCCGAGUUCUUGCUCUCGAUUGGAAAGAGGGGUCGCGGACGGGUUAGUAACACGUGUGUAACCUACCCAGCAGUGAGGGAUAACACUUGGAAACAGUUGCUAAUACCGCCUACCAGUUUAUGCCGCAUGGCUUAAGAGUGUACGGCGCUUUCGGGGGUCGUUGCGGGUUGGCCCCGCGGUGCAUUAGCUAGUUGGUGAGGUAACGGCCCACCAAGGCCACGAUGCAUAGCCGACCUGAGAGGGUGAUCGGCCACACUGGAACUGAGACACGGCCCAGACUCCUACGGGAGGCAGCAGUAGGGAAUCUUCGGCAAUGGACGAAAGUCUGACCGAGCAACGCCGCGUGAGUGAAGAAGGUGUUCGGAUCGUAAAACUCUGUUGUUAGGGAAGAACAACGGCGGUAGUAACUGAACGUCUCCUGACGGUAUCUAAACAGAAAGCCACGGCUAACUACGUG